ACAGUGGACGCGAGCAUCUGUGGCCAAGUUUUUAAGGGCGCACGGUGGAUGCCUUGGCACCAGGAACCGAUGAAGGACGUGGGAGGCCACGAUAGGCCCCGGGGAGUCGUCAACCAGGCUUUGAUCCGGGGGUGUCCGAAUGGGGAAACCCGGCAGUCGUCAUGGGCUGUCACCCUUGCCUGAACACAUAGGGCAAGUGGAGGGAACGCGGGGAAGUGAAACAUCUCAGUACCCGCAGGAAGAGAAAACAACCGUGAUUCCGGGAGUAGUGGCGAGCGAAACCGGAUGAGGCCAAACCGUAUGCGUGUGAGACCCGGCAGGGGUUGCGCAUUCGGGGUUGUGGGAUCUCUCUUUCAUGGUCUGCCGGCCAUGAGACGAGUCAGAAACCGUUGAUGUAGGCGAAGGACAUGCGAAAGGUCCGGCGUAGAGGGUAAGACCCCCGUAGUCGAAACGUCAGCGGCUCGUUUGAGAGACACCCAAGUAGCACGGGGCCCGAGAAAUCCCGUGUGAAUCUGGCGGGACCACCCGCUAAGCCUAAAUAUUCCCUGGUGACCGAUAGCGGAUAGUACCGUGAGGGAAUGGUGAAAAGUACCGCGGGAGCGGAGUGAAAUAGUACCUGAAACCGUGUGCCUACAAGCCGUGGGAGCGUCGCGCAAGGACUUGUCCUUGCGUCGUGACUGCGUGCCUUUUGAAGAAUGAGCCUGCGAGUUUGCGGUGUGUUGCGAGGUUAACCCGGGUGGGGAAGCCGUAGCGAAAGCGAGUCCGAACAGGGCGUUUCAGUAGCACGCUCAAGACCCGAAGCGGAGUGAUCUAGCCAUGGGCAGGUUGAAGCGGAGGUAAGACUUCGUGGAGGACCGAACCCACCAGGGUUGAAAACCUGGGGGAUGACCUGUGGUUAGGGGUGAAAGGCCAAUCAAACUCCGUGAUAGCUGGUUCUCCCCGAAAUGCAUUUAGGUGCAGCGUCGUGUGUUUCUUGCCGGAGGUAGAGCACUGGAUAGGCGAUGGGCCCUACCGGGUUACUGACCUUAGCCAAACUCCGAAUGCCGGUAAGUGAGAGCGCGGCAGUGAGACUGUGGGGGAUAAGCUCCAUGGUCGAGAGGGAAACAGCCCAGAGCAUCGACUAAGGCCCCUAAGCGUACGCUAAGUGGGAAAGGAUGUGGAGUCGCACAGACAACCAGGAGGUUGGCUUAGAAGCAGCCACCCUUGAAAGAGUGCGUAAUAGCUCACUGGUCUAGUGAUUCCGCGCCGACAAUGUAGCGGGGCUCAAGCGUACCGCCGAAGUCGUGUCAUUGCAGCAGAUAGCCCCAACGGGUGCUGUGAUGGGUAGGGGAGCGUCGUCUGCCGGGUGAAGCAGCCGCGGAAGCGAGUUGUGGACGGUUGACGAGUGAGAAUGCAGGCAUGAGUAGCGAUUCACACGUGAGAAACGUGUGCGCCGAUUGACUAAGGGUUCCUGGGUCAAGCUGAUCUGCCCAGGGUAAGUCGGGACCUAAGGCGAGGCCGACAGGCGUAGUCGAUGGAUAACCGGUUGAUAUUCCGGUACCCGCUGUGAAGCGUCAAACAUCGAAUCCAGUGAUGCUAAGCCCGUGAAGCCGCCGGCUGAGUCUUCGGACGAGGUCGGAGUGGUGGAGCCGGUGACCCGAGCUGGUAGUAGGUGAGUGAUGGGGUGACGCAGGAAGGUAGUCCAUCCCGGGCGGUGGUUGUCCCGGGGUAAGGGUGUAGGACGUCAGGUAGGCAAAUCCGCCUGGCAUGUGUCUGAGACCUGAUGCCGAGCCGAUUGUGGUGAAGUGGAUGAUCCUAUGCUGUCGAGAAAAGCCUCUAGCGAGUUUCAUGGCGGCCCGUACCCUAAACCGACUCAGGUGGUCAGGUAGAGAAUACCGAGGCGUUCGGGUGAACUAUGGUUAAGGAACUCGGCAAAAUGCCCCCGUAACUUCGGGAGAAGGGGGGCCACAUCCGGUGAUGAGCUUCGCGCUCUGAGCUGGGGGUGGCCGCAGAGACCAGCGAGAAGCGACUGUUUACUAAAAACACAGGUCCGUGCGAAGCCGUAAGGCGAUGUAUACGGACUGACGCCUGCCCGGUGCUGGAACGUUAAGGGGACCGGUUAGCUUGGAUUCGUCCAGGCGAAGCUGAGAACUUAAGCGCCAGUAAACGGCGGUGGUAACUAUAACCAUCCUAAGGUAGCGAAAUUCCUUGUCGGGUAAGUUCCGACCUGCACGAAUGGCGUAACGACUUCUCGACUGUCUCAACCAUAGGCCCGGUGAAAUUGCACUACGAGUAAAGAUGCUCGUUUCGCGCAGCAGGACGGAAAGACCCCGGGACCUUUACUACAGUUUGAUAUUGGUGUUCGGUUCGGCUUGUGUAGGAUAGCUGGGAGACUGUGAACAUCGGACGCCAGUUCGGUGGGAGUCGUCGUUGAAAUACCAGUCUGGUCGUGCUGGAUGUCUAACCUGGGUCCGUGAUCCGGAUCAGGGACAGUGUCUGAUGGGUAGUUUAACUGGGGCGGUUGCCUCCUAAAGGGUAACGGAGGCGCCCAAAGGUUCCCUCAGCCUGGUUGGCAAUCAGGUGUUGAGUGUAAGUGCACAAGGGAGCUUGACUGUGAGACCGACGGGUCGAGCAGGGACGAAAGUCGGGACUAGUGAUCCGGCGGUGGCUUGUGGAAGCGCCGUCGCUCAACGGAUAAAAGGUACCCCGGGGAUAACAGGCUGAUCUUCCCCAAGAGUCCAUAUCGACGGGAUGGUUUGGCACCUCGAUGUCGGCUCGUCGCAUCCUGGGGCUGGAGUCGGUCCCAAGGGUUGGGCUGUUCGCCCAUUAAAGCGGUACGCGAGCUGGGUUUAGAACGUCGUGAGACAGUUCGGUCCCUAUCCGCUGUGCGCGUAGGAGUCUUGAGAAGGGCUGUCCCUAGUACGAGAGGACCGGGACGGACGAACCUCUGGUGUGCCAGUUGUUCUGCCAAGGGCAUGGCUGGUUGGCUACGUUCGGGAGGGAUAACCGCUGAAAGCAUCUAAGCGGGAAGCCUGCUUCGAGAUGAGGACUCCCACCUCCUGGAGAGGGUAAGGCUCCCAGUAGACGACUGGGUUGAUAGGCCGGAUAUGGAAGCACGGUAACGUGUGGAGUUGACCGGUACUAAUAGGCCGAGGGCUUGUCCUCAGUUG
This 3149-nucleotide ribosomal RNA is filed under the name Streptomyces sp. I5. RNAcentral describes it as "23S ribosomal RNA". It matches the Rfam family "Bacterial large subunit ribosomal RNA". The record is from RNAcentral. Lineage: Bacteria; Bacillati; Actinomycetota; Actinomycetes; Kitasatosporales; Streptomycetaceae.